CCUACGGGAGGCUGCAGUGGGGAAUUUUGGACAAUGGGCGCAAGCCUGAUCCAGCUAUUCCGCGUGUGGGAAGACGGCCUUCGGGUUGUAAACCACUUUUGUAGAGAACGAAAAGUCUGUUGAUAAUACCGAUAGAUGAUGACGGUACUCUAAGAAUAAGCACCGGCUAACUACGUGCCAGCAGCCGCGGUAAUACGUAGGGUGCGAGCGUUAAUCGGAAUUACUGGGCGUAAAGGGUGUGCAGGCGGUUUUGCAAGAUGGAUGUGAAAGCCCCGGGCUUAACCUGGGAAAGCCAUACAUGACUGCAAGACUAGAGUGCGUCAGAGGGGGGUGGAAUUCCAAGUGGAGCAGUGAAAUGCGUAGAUAUUUGGAAGAACACCGAUGGCGAAGGCAGCCCCCUGGGACGCAACUGACGCUCAUACACGAAAGCGUGGGGAGCAAACAGGAUUAGAUACCCCUGUAGUC
RNAcentral lists this ribosomal RNA (465 nucleotides) under uncultured bacterium. RNAcentral describes it as "partial 16S ribosomal RNA". It matches the Rfam family "Bacterial small subunit ribosomal RNA", at positions 338 to 795 of the family's 1533-position model. The record is from RNAcentral.